This 447-nucleotide ribosomal RNA is filed under the name uncultured bacterium. Its description in RNAcentral is "bacterial SSU rRNA". It matches the Rfam family "Bacterial small subunit ribosomal RNA", at positions 330 to 793 of the family's 1533-position model. The record is from RNAcentral.
CCCAGACUCCUACGGGAGGCAGCAGUGGGGAAUAUUGCACAAUGGGGGGAACCCUGAUGCAGCGACGCCGCGUGAGUGAAGAAGUAUUUCGGUAUGUAAAGCUCUGUCAGCAGGGAAGAAGAAAGACGGUACCUGACCAAGAAGCCCCGGCUAACUACGUGCCAGCAGCCGCGGUAAUACGUAGGGGGCAAGCGUUAUCCGGAUUUACUGGGUGUAAAGGGAGCGUAGACGGCAGUGCAAGUCUGGAGUGAAAGGCGGGGGCUCAACCCCCGGACUGCUCUGGAAACUGUACGGCUGGAGUGCAGGAGAGGUAAGUGGAAUUCCUGGUGUAGCGGUGAAAUGCGUAGAUAUUAGGAGGAACACCAGUGGCGAAGGCGGCUUACUGGACUGUAACUGACGUUGUGGCUCGAAAGCGUGGGGAGCAAACAGGAUUAGAUACCCGCGUAU